RNAcentral lists this ribosomal RNA (366 nucleotides) under Salmonella enterica subsp. enterica. RNAcentral describes it as "bacterial SSU rRNA". It matches the Rfam family "Bacterial small subunit ribosomal RNA", at positions 605 to 970 of the family's 1533-position model. RNAcentral also lists the same sequence under 1 other name. Lineage: Bacteria; Pseudomonadati; Pseudomonadota; Gammaproteobacteria; Enterobacterales; Enterobacteriaceae. The record is from RNAcentral.
GGGCUCAACCUGGGAACUGCAUUCGAAACUGGCAGGCUUGAGUCUUGUAGAGGGGGGUGGAAUUCCAGGUGUAGCGGUGAAAUGCGUAGAGAUCUGGAGGAAUACCGGUGGCGAAGGCGGCCCCCUGGACAAAGACUGACGCUCAGGUGCGAAAGCGUGGGGAGCAAACAGGAUUAGAUACCCUGGUAGUCCACGCCGUAAACGAUGUCUACUUGGAGGUUGUGCCCUUGAGGCGUGGCUUCCGGAGCUAACGCGUUAAGUAGACCGCCUGGGGAGUACGGCCGCAAGGUUAAAACUCAAAUGAAUUGACGGGGGCCCGCACAAGCGGUGGAGCAUGUGGUUUAAUUCGAUGCAACGCGAAGAACC